RNAcentral lists this ribosomal RNA (413 nucleotides) under uncultured microorganism. RNAcentral's name for it is "bacterial SSU rRNA". It matches the Rfam family "Bacterial small subunit ribosomal RNA", at positions 9 to 420 of the family's 1533-position model. The record is from RNAcentral.
GAGUUUGAUCGUGGCUCAGAUUGAACGCUGGCGGCAUGCCUUACACAUGCAAGUCGAACGGCAGCAUGAUCUAGCUUGCUAGAUUGAUGGCGAGUGGCGAACGGGUGAGUAAUACAUCGGAACGUGCCCUGUAGUGGGGAUAACUAGUCGAAAGAUUAGCUAAUACCGCAUACACCUGAGGGUGAAAGUGGGGGACCGCAAGGCCUCAUGCUAUAGGAGCGGCCGAUGUCUGAUUAGCUAGUUGGUGGGGUAAAGGCCCACCAAGGCGACGAUCAGUAGCUGGUCUGAGAGGACGAUCAGCCACACUGGGACUGAGACACGGCCCAGACUCCUACGGGAGGCAGCAGUGGGGAAUUUUGGACAAUGGGCGAAAGCCUGAUCCAGCAAUGCCGCGUGUGUGAAGAAGGCCUCGG